Molecule: ribosomal RNA, 965 nt
Filed under: Escherichia coli
Lineage: Bacteria; Pseudomonadati; Pseudomonadota; Gammaproteobacteria; Enterobacterales; Enterobacteriaceae
Description: partial 23S ribosomal RNA
Rfam family: Bacterial large subunit ribosomal RNA
Source: RNAcentral
ACUAAUGUUGAAAAAUUAGCGGAUGACUUGUGGCUGGGGGUGAAAGGCCAAUCAAACCGGGAGAUAGCUGGUUCUCCCCGAAAGCUAUUUAGGUAGCGCCUCGUGAAUUCAUCUCCGGGGGUAGAGCACUGUUUCGGCAAGGGGGUCAUCCCGACUUACCAACCCGAUGCAAACUGCGAAUACCGGAGAAUGUUAUCACGGGAGACACACGGCGGGUGCUAACGUCCGUCGUGAAGAGGGAAACAACCCAGACCGCCAGCUAAGGUCCCAAAGUCAUGGUUAAGUGGGAAACGAUGUGGGAAGGCCCAGACAGCCAGGAUGUUGGCUUAGAAGCAGCCAUCAUUUAAAGAAAGCGUAAUAGCUCACUGGUCGAGUCGGCCUGCGCGGAAGAUGUAACGGGGCUAAACCAUGCACCGAAGCUGCGGCAGCGACGCUUAUGCGUUGUUGGGUAGGGGAGCGUUCUGUAAGCCUGUGAAGGUGUGCUGUGAGGCAUGCUGGAGGUAUCAGAAGUGCGAAUGCUGACAUAAGUAACGAUAAAGCGGGUGAAAAGCCCGCUCGCCGGAAGACCAAGGGUUCCUGUCCAACGUUAAUCGGGGCAGGGUGAGUCGACCCCUAAGGCGAGGCCGAAAGGCGUAGUCGAUGGGAAACAGGUUAAUAUUCCUGUACUUGGUGUUACUGCGAAGGGGGGACGGAGAAGGCUAUGUUGGCCGGGCGACGGUUGUCCCGGUUUAAGCGUGUAGGCUGGUUUUCCAGGCAAAUCCGGAAAAUCAAGGCUGAGGCGUGAUGACGAGGCACUACGGUGCUGAAGCAACAAAUGCCCUGCUUCCAGGAAAAGCCUCUAAGCAUCAGGUAACAUCAAAUCGUACCCCAAACCGACACAGGUGGUCAGGUAGAGAAUACCAAGGCGCUUGAGAGAACUCGGGUGAAGGAACUAGGCAAAAUGGUGCCGUAACUUCGGGAGAAGG